CUGGAGAAUCCCAGGGACGGGGGAGCCUGGUGGGCUGCCGUCUAUGGGGUCGCACAGAGUCGGACACGACUGAAGCGACUUAGCAGCAAACCUUACAUGUUUUAUUUAUACCUAAAAAGAUACUUUGAGAUAUUCCACAAAUUGUAUUUCCCUUAGGUUGCAGAAGCUACUAACUGUGCAGGUCACAUGAUUGAAAAUGAAACCAGUCAGAUGUGAAGAAAUGUAUCAUGGGCCAUCCCACCGUUACCACCUCACAUCCUGACUAUGGAGUCUACUCACAUCUCCCAGAGACUACUCCAUCAAGAAAUGAGGAAAGGGAGUGAAUUCAUCUUCAUUGUACUUGUCAUCUGCUCCCUCUUAGGCCAGAUGAAGGGCACGGAUCAAGAGUGCUUCUCAGCAUCUCUGUUUCCAGAGCGACAGUUCCCUGUCCCUGAU
This is a long non-coding RNA of Bos taurus (domestic cattle), 435 nucleotides long. The record is from Ensembl. Lineage: Eukaryota; Metazoa; Chordata; Mammalia; Artiodactyla; Bovidae.